Molecule: ribosomal RNA, 503 nt
Filed under: uncultured bacterium
Lineage: Bacteria
Description: partial 16S ribosomal RNA
Rfam family: Bacterial small subunit ribosomal RNA
Source: RNAcentral
AUUGAACGCUGGCGGCAGGCUUAACACAUGCAAGUCGAGCGGAGUGAUGGUGCUUGCACUAUCACUUAGCGGCGGACGGGUGAGUAAUGCUUAGGAAUCUGCCUAUUAGUGGGGGACAACAUCUCGAAAGGGAUGCUAAUACCGCAUACGUCCUACGGGAGAAAGCAGGGGAUCACUUGUGACCUUGCGCUAAUAGAUGAGCCUAAGUCGGAUUAGCUAGUUGGUGGGGUAAAGGCCUACCAAGGCGACGAUCUGUAGCGGGUCUGAGAGGGUGAUCCGCCACACUGGGACUGAGACACGGCCCAGACUCCUACGGGAGGCAGCAGUGGGGAAUAUUGGACAAUGGGGGGAACCCUGAUCCAGCCAUGCCGCGUGUGUGAAGAAGGCCUUAUGGUUAUAAAGCACUUUAAGCGAGGAGGAGGCUCUUUUGGUUAAUACCCAAGAUGAGUGGACGUUACUCGCAGAAUAAGCACCGGCUAACUCUGUGCCAGCAGCCGCCGUAA